GCCGCUUUAGCUCAGUUGGUAGAGCAUCGCAUUCGUAAUGCGGGGGUCACAGGUUCGAGUCCUGUAAGCGCACCA
Molecule: transfer RNA, 75 nt
Filed under: Oxalobacteraceae bacterium
Lineage: Bacteria; Pseudomonadati; Pseudomonadota; Betaproteobacteria; Burkholderiales; Oxalobacteraceae
Description: tRNA-Thr
Rfam family: tRNA
About the family: Transfer RNA (tRNA) molecules are approximately 80 nucleotides in length. Their secondary structure includes four short double-helical elements and three loops (D, anti-codon, and T loops).
Source: RNAcentral